RNAcentral lists this ribosomal RNA (465 nucleotides) under uncultured bacterium. RNAcentral describes it as "partial 16S ribosomal RNA". It matches the Rfam family "Bacterial small subunit ribosomal RNA", at positions 28 to 507 of the family's 1533-position model. The record is from RNAcentral.
GACGAACGCUGGCGGCGUGCUUAACACAUGCAAGUCGUACGGUAAGGCCCUUUCGGGGGUACACGAGUGGCGAACGGGUGAGUAACACGUGAGUAACCUGCCCACAACUUUGGGAUAACGCUAGGAAACUGGUGCUAAUACUGGAUAUGUGCUCCUGCUGCAUGGUGGGGGUUGGAAAGCUCCGGCGGUUGUGGAUGGACUCGCGGCCUAUCAGCUUGCUGGUGGGGUAGUGGCCUACCAAGGCGGCGACGGGUAGCCGGCCUGAGAGGGUGACCGGCCACAUUGGGACUGAGAUACGGCCCAGACUCCUACGGGAGGCAGCAGUGGGGAAUAUUGCACAAUGGGCGCCAGCCUGAUGCAGCAACGCCGCGUGCGGGAUGACGGCCUUCGGGUUGUAAACCGCUUUCAGCAGGGACGAAGCUUUUUGUGACGGUACCUGCAGAAGAAGCACCGGCUAACUACGUG